GGAACAAAGCCUGAUGGU
Molecule: small nuclear RNA, 18 nt
Filed under: Arabidopsis thaliana (thale cress)
Lineage: Eukaryota; Viridiplantae; Streptophyta; Magnoliopsida; Brassicales; Brassicaceae
Description: snRNA_09898
Source: RNAcentral